Molecule: ribosomal RNA, 247 nt
Filed under: uncultured bacterium
Lineage: Bacteria
Description: partial 16S ribosomal RNA
Rfam family: Bacterial small subunit ribosomal RNA
Source: RNAcentral
ACACGGAGGGUGCAAGCGUUAUUCGGAAUUAUUGGGCGUAAAGGGCGCGUAGGCGGCUAAACAGGUCAGGUGUGAAAGCCCGGGGCUUAACCCCGGAAGUGCAUUUGAAACCGUUUGGCUUGAGUAUGGGAGAGGAGAGCGGAAUUCCUGGUGUAGAGGUGAAAUUCGUAGAUAUCAGGAGGAACACCGGUGGCGAAGGCGGCUCUCUGGACCAAUACUGACGCUGAGGCGCGAAGGCGUGGGUAGC